This 37-nucleotide ribosomal RNA is filed under the name Myriocephalus guerinae. RNAcentral describes it as "partial 18S ribosomal RNA". The record is from RNAcentral. Lineage: Eukaryota; Viridiplantae; Streptophyta; Magnoliopsida; Asterales; Asteraceae.
CAAGGUCUCCGUAGGUGAACCUGCGGAAGGAUCAUUG